Molecule: ribosomal RNA, 455 nt
Filed under: Bacillus sp. ANT_WA51
Lineage: Bacteria; Bacillati; Bacillota; Bacilli; Caryophanales; Bacillaceae
Description: partial 23S ribosomal RNA
Rfam family: Bacterial large subunit ribosomal RNA
Source: RNAcentral
CGGUUAAGUUAGAAAGGGCGCACGGUGGAUGCCUUGGCACUAGGAGCCGAUGAAGGACGGGACGAACACCGAUAUGCUUCGGGGAGCUGUAAGCAAGCUUUGAUCCGGAGAUUUCCGAAUGGGGAAACCCACCACUCGUAAUGGAGUGGUAUCCAUAUCUGAAUUCAUAGGAUAUGAGAAGGCAGACCCGGGGAACUGAAACAUCUAAGUACCCGGAGGAAGAGAAAGCAAAUGCGAUUCCCUGAGUAGCGGCGAGCGAAACGGGAUUAGCCCAAACCAAGAGGCUUGCCUCUUGGGGUUGUAGGACACUCUGUACGGAGUUACAAAGGAACGAGGUAGAUGAAGAGGUCUGGAAAGGCCCGCCAUAGGAGGUAACAGCCCUGUAGUCAAAACUUCGUUCUCUCCUGAGUGGAUCCUGAGUACGGCGGAACACGUGAAAUUCCGUCGGAAUCCGG